This 372-nucleotide ribosomal RNA is filed under the name Triticum aestivum (bread wheat). RNAcentral's name for it is "partial small subunit ribosomal RNA". The record is from RNAcentral. Lineage: Eukaryota; Viridiplantae; Streptophyta; Magnoliopsida; Poales; Poaceae.
AUGGACAGAAAUCCUGACAAUUGUGGAGACCAGGAUCCCAAGUCAUGUACUGAAGCUUGUUUGCCAAAAUGGUCAAUGGACAGGAAUCCUGACACCUGUGUACACCAGGAUCCCAAGUCAUGUACUGAAGCUUGUUUGCCAAAAUGGUCGAUGGACAGAAAUCCUGACACUUGUGGAAGGCCGACAACUAUCAUCCCUUACUUUGGCCAACAACAUUCUCAAGCCUUCAGGACUAACCCACUUGAUGCCGGGAUCCCAUUGCUUGUACUGAAGAUAGCUCUCCGAACAGAUCAACGAACAGAAAUUUGGACACACGUAUCGCACUGGUUGGUCCUUGUCUCCAGGAUUAAACCCUUCUCUUCUCCACAGUGA